Molecule: ribosomal RNA, 468 nt
Filed under: uncultured bacterium
Lineage: Bacteria
Description: partial 16S ribosomal RNA
Rfam family: Bacterial small subunit ribosomal RNA
Source: RNAcentral
GACGAACGCUGGCGGCGUGCUUAACACAUGCAAGUCGAACGGUGAAGCUCCAGCUUGCUGGAGUGGAUCAGUGGCGAACGGGUGAGUAACACGUGAGCAACCUGCCCCUUACUCUGGAAUAAGCGCUGGAAACGGCGUCUAAUACUGGAUACGAGAAGGGUCCGCAUGGGCACUUUCUGGAAAGUUUUUCGGUUGGGGAUGGGCUCGCGGCCUAUCAGCUUGUUGGUGAGGUAAUGGCUCACCAAGGUGACGACGGGUAGCCGGCCUGAGAGGGCGACCGGCCACACUGGGACUGAGACACGGCCCAGACUCCUACGGGAGGCAGCAGUGGGGAAUAUUGCACAAUGGGCGAAAGCCUGAUGCAGCGACGCCGCGUGAGGGAUGACGGCCUUCGGGUUGUAAACCUCUUUCAGCAGGGAAGAAGCGAAAGUGACGGUACCUGCAGAAGAAGCACCGGCUAACUACGUG